GACGAACGCUGGCGGCGUGCCUAAUACAUGCAAGUUGAGCGCUGAAGGUUGGUACUUGUACCAACUGGAUGAGCAGCGAACGGGUGAGUAACGCGUGGGGAAUCUGCCUUUGAGCGGGGGACAACAUUUGGAAACGAAUGCUAAUACCGCAUAAAAACUUUAAACACAAGUUUUAAGUUUGAAAGAUGCAAUUGCAUCACUCAAAGAUGAUCCCGCGUUGUAUUAGCUAGUUGGUGAGGUAAAGGCUCACCAAGGCGAUGAUACAUAGCCGACCUGAGAGGGUGAUCGGCCACAUUGGGACUGAAACACGGCCCAAACUCCUACGGGAGGCAGCAGUAGGGAAUCUUCGGCAAUGGACGAAAGUUUGACCGAGCAACGCCGCGUGAGUGAAGAAGGUUUUCGGAUCGUAAAACUCUGUUGGUAGAGAAGAACGUUGGUGAGAGUGGAAAGCUCAUCAAGUGACGGUAACUACCCAGAAAGGGACGGCUAACUACGUG
This 497-nucleotide ribosomal RNA is filed under the name uncultured bacterium. RNAcentral describes it as "partial 16S ribosomal RNA". It matches the Rfam family "Bacterial small subunit ribosomal RNA", at positions 28 to 507 of the family's 1533-position model. The record is from RNAcentral.